AGAGCUUCGUCUUUCUUUAACGAAUUCCGAUGAGUUGAAAGAGCAUAGAAUUUGGAGGUUGCGACUAUUUACCUAGUUCCUUGACCUAUUUUCUCAUUGUAUAUGCCUAAUUUAAUUGCCUUCCGAUCAGUAGUUUAUGUGGUCCAGGAAGUAUUGCUUUCAAGUAGGAUGGAACUGAUUUUAUUGUUAAAUUUUGAUUUUGGCUUCCCCCAUAAAUAUUUUGUCCUUUCUUCAAAUAUUAGAAAUUAUUUGGCUUGAUCUUCCAGUAGUUUUGUUUGUGCUUAGUUCCCUGGAAAUUUUACUUUAGAUCAAUUGGCUCUUAAUAUGGAGGGAUUAAUGUGUGUUGUGCGUGGCAGCAGUUGUUGUAGAAUGUGUCGCAUUCUCCUCCUUAUCGUAGCAUAAAUGUUGAGAUAAUUUUGUUAGCUUUGCGAAAACUAAUACUUUCUGGUUGUCUGUGCUAUAUGCAAGUUGGCCCACUAGGGAGAUACAAAAUAUAAUUCUAUUUAUGAAUACAUUAAAUGGUUUACUAGAAUCAAAAUAAAUAUAUUGAUAGUUAUUUGCUUGACGCAGUCUGUUGCAUUGUGGUGUGACUA
This 593-nucleotide unclassified non-coding RNA is filed under the name Hevea brasiliensis (rubber tree). Lineage: Eukaryota; Viridiplantae; Streptophyta; Magnoliopsida; Malpighiales; Euphorbiaceae. The record is from RNAcentral.